UGACGAGGGGGGCAAAUGUUGUUCGGAAUCACUGGGCGUAAAGGGAGCGUAGGCGGGUUUCUAAGUCCAGGUGUUUAAUCCCGGGGCCCAACCCCGGACAGGCACUUGAAACUGGGAAUCUUGAAUAGGUGGAGAGGUCAGUGGAAUUGGGGGUGUAGCGGUGGAAUGCGUAGAGAUCCCCAAGAACACCAGUUGCGAAGGCGGCUGACUGGACACAUAUUGACGGCUGAGGCUCGAAAGCAUGGGGAGCAAACAGGG
This 258-nucleotide ribosomal RNA is filed under the name uncultured bacterium. RNAcentral's name for it is "partial 16S ribosomal RNA". It matches the Rfam family "Bacterial small subunit ribosomal RNA", at positions 523 to 777 of the family's 1533-position model. The record is from RNAcentral.